CGGCGGACGGGUGAGUAACACGUGGAUAACCUACCUAUAAGACUGGGAUAACUUCGGGAAACCGGAGCUAAUACCGGAUAAUAUAUUGAACCGCAUGGUUCAAUAGUGAAAGACGGUUUUGCUGUCACUUAUAGAUGGAUCCGCGCCGCAUUAGCUAGUUGGUAAGGUAACGGCUUACCAAGGCAACGAUGCGUAGCCGACCUGAGAGGGUGAUCGGCCACACUGGAACUGAGACACGGUCCAGACUCCUACGGAGGCAGCAGGC
RNAcentral lists this ribosomal RNA (265 nucleotides) under uncultured Staphylococcus sp. RNAcentral describes it as "partial 16S ribosomal RNA". It matches the Rfam family "Bacterial small subunit ribosomal RNA", at positions 96 to 354 of the family's 1533-position model. Lineage: Bacteria; Bacillati; Bacillota; Bacilli; Caryophanales; Staphylococcaceae. The record is from RNAcentral.